RNAcentral lists this long non-coding RNA (1463 nucleotides) under Homo sapiens (human). Its description in RNAcentral is "HSALNT0031181". Lineage: Eukaryota; Metazoa; Chordata; Mammalia; Primates; Hominidae. The record is from RNAcentral.
GUGGAUGCUCUAAGUGGCACCCACUCCGCCUGUGCUGGGGACAGCAGAAGGGGCCCUCCAAGCCAGACUCGGCUCUCGUGAACCCUUCACGACUGGGGCCUCCCCGCUAAAACAGCCUCAUUCCCACUUAACAGCUUUGGCUCAUGCUGUUGUCUUGGCUAUAAUGCUUCCCUCCACUUAAUAAAUCCUGCCCAUAUAUUCAGGCCCAGUUUAAGCCCCACCACUCCUUGAUCUCUGGACUCCUCCUCCAAAUGACAGCAUGGUCUGUUUUCCAGAUACAAUUCAGAGCUGGAUUCGGUGUUUGUUUUUCCAGUUAUUUUUGCUUCCUCUAGGAAACUUCUUUGAAAAUGAGACUCUCCUUCCCUAGCAGGGGCUGGGUGCAGAUAGGUGUUCAUUUAACGUGGAUUGAUUGGAUUAAGGGCUUGGGGAUGGAAGGGAGGCUUUUUUUUUUCUUUUUUGCCUUUUUCAAAAUUAUGAAAUACAAAAUGCAGUCAGACAAGUACAUGAAACGGCAAUGUCUGGCUUAAUGAAUAUUACGAGGCAAAUAUCCUGUAACCACCAUCCAGAUCAAGAGAACAUUACCAGCAUCCCAGAAGCCUCUCCAUAUGACCUUUGGGAAGCAGACAUUUCCAAACUGGUGAUUGUAUAUCUGUGGGCGUGGGAAAGGUCUUUAUUUCAUUUUUAGAAAUGGGUCUCACCAUUUUGCUGAGGCCGAUAUCAAAUUCUUGGGCUCAAGCAAUCCUCCCACCUUGGCCUCCCAAAGUGCUGGGAUUAUGGCCAUGGGCUACCAUGCCUGGCCUGGGAAGGAUCUUUAGAGGAAGUGUGAGCUGGGAAAUCUCUUCUUGGGCCCUUGCCCACAUGAGCUUGUGAGUAUCUUGGGGAAGUACCAAAUCCACAGCACCAUGAGAGGGAGGAGGCAGCCGCAGGGAGUUCUUGGUGGGCAAAAUAUGUCUGUCAACCUGGAGCCCUGCCCAGACCCUGAAGCAACUGUUCUUCAUUCCAGCUGGGAUUUGUAAGCAAAUAUGAGGUCAGAUGUGUCUGGGUGUGUGCUUCCUACCCCUAGCCAAAAGGGAAGCAGGACCAAACGUGGGCCUCCAGACACUUAGAGAUUGCAGACUGAGGAAGGAGGAGAAGGGGCUUUCCAGAGCUUGGAGCACAGGGCAACUUACAGGGCCCAGGAAGUGGCCAGGAAUGAUGGUGUGCGCCUGUGGUCCUAGCUACGUGGGAGGCUGAAGUGGGAGGAUUGCUUGAGAGGUCGAGGUUGCAGUGAACCAAGACCGUGCCAUUGCACUCCAGCCUGGGCGACAGACGGAGACUCUGUCUCCAAAAAAAAAAAAAGGAUAAUGGCAGAACGUGCAGGUUUGUUACACAGGUAUACGUGUGUCAUAGUGGUUUGCUGCACUUAUUGACCCAUCCUGUAAGUUUCCUCCCCUAACCCCCACCCCCCAAAAAGCCCUGGUGUG